This 433-nucleotide ribosomal RNA is filed under the name uncultured bacterium. RNAcentral describes it as "partial 16S ribosomal RNA". It matches the Rfam family "Bacterial small subunit ribosomal RNA", at positions 29 to 507 of the family's 1533-position model. The record is from RNAcentral.
AACGAACGCUGGCGGCAUGCCUAACACAUGCAAGUCGAACGAGACCUUCGGGUCUAGUGGCGCACGGGUGCGUAACGCGUGGGAACCUGCCUUUAGGUUCGGAAUAACUCAGAGAAAUUUGAGCUAAUACCGGAUGAUGUCUUCGGACCAAAGAUUUAUCGCCUUUAGAUGGGCCCGCGUUGGAUUAGCUAGUUGGUGGGGUAAAGGCCUACCAAGGCGACGAUCCAUAGCUGGUCUGAGAGGAUGAUCAGCCACACUGGGACUGAGACACGGCCCAGACUCCUACGGGAGGCAGCAGUGGGGAAUAUUGGACAAAGGGCGAAAGCCUGAUCCAGCAAUGCCGCGUGAGUGAUGAAGGCCUUAGGGUUGUAAAGCUCUUUUACCCGAGAUGAUAAUGACAGUAUCGGGAGAAUAAGCUCCGGCUAACUCCGUG